Acipenser ruthenus (sterlet) is the source of this 456-nucleotide long non-coding RNA. RefSeq lists it as uncharacterized. The record is from RefSeq and is a predicted model, not a curated record. Lineage: Eukaryota; Metazoa; Chordata; Actinopteri; Acipenseriformes; Acipenseridae. The transcript is spliced from 2 exons.
CAGUUACUAAGAGCACCAUAAGCAGCGAUGCCCUGCUGGUCCUUGAAAAGCAGGGAGGUGACGACGGGGAGAGGAAGACUGGCGCGGCCAUUCUUGAACUGGAGGAGGACUUUCUGUCUUCCGAAGGCGUGUCCAAAGAGGAUCGGGAGGCACUGUCUCCAGAGGACGAUGCCUUUGAUGAGAAUGACUAUAACAGGCUUUUGGAUGUUGAGGCAGAAGGCAAUGACAAUUCUGAUGAUCCUAACCAGCAUUUGGAAGGUACCUAUGAUGCCUCCAAGGUGCCAGAGCACAGUGACACUGAGAACUAUGAGGGGGCUGGGGAGCCUGGUCACUUCGAAGAGGCGGAUGAGUGGAGGGCUCUGUCUGCAGAGGAAGCCGGUGGUAACUGAAGAUGCAGUUCUGUCUAGUUAUUGGAUUAUCAUGACUGCUAAAUAAAGGUGUUGACAUUUUUGUAUA